Molecule: non-coding RNA, 78 nt
Organism: Cordylochernes scorpioides
Lineage: Eukaryota; Metazoa; Arthropoda; Arachnida; Pseudoscorpiones; Chernetidae
Source: the annotation of a GenBank genome assembly
UGUCCAGGCAUGGGAAUCGAACCCACAGUGUUCCACUUACUGGACAGAUGCCAUGUCUACUAGGCCACUGUCCAUGAC